GAUGAACGCUGGCGGCGUGCCUAAUACAUGCAAGUCGAGCGAAUGGAUUGAGAGCUUGCUCUUAUGAAGUUAGCGGCGGACGGGUGAGUAACGCGUGGGUAACCUGCCCAUAAGACUGGGAUAACUCCGGGAAACCGGGGCUAAUACCGGAUAACAUUUUGAACCGCAUGGUUCGAAAUUGAAAGGCGGCUUCGGCUGUCACUUAUGGAUGGACCCGCGUCGCAUUAGCUAGUUGGUGAGGUAACGGCUCACCAAGGCAACGAUGAGUGGCCGACAUGAGAGGGUGAUCGGCCACACUGGGAAUGAGACACGGCCCAGACUCAUACGGGAGGCAGCAGUAGGGAAUCUUCCGCAAUGGACGAAAGUCUGACGGAGCAACGCCGCGUGAGUGAUGAAGGCUUUCGGGUCGUAAAACUCUGUUGUUAGGGAAGAACAAGUGCUAGUUGAAUAAGCUGGCACCUUGACGGUACCUAACCAGAAAGCCACGGCUAACUACGUGCCAGCAGCCGCCGCAG
RNAcentral lists this ribosomal RNA (515 nucleotides) under uncultured bacterium. RNAcentral describes it as "partial 16S ribosomal RNA". It matches the Rfam family "Bacterial small subunit ribosomal RNA", at positions 28 to 523 of the family's 1533-position model. The record is from RNAcentral.